This is a long non-coding RNA of Aegilops tauschii subsp. strangulata, 2042 nucleotides long. RefSeq lists it as uncharacterized. Lineage: Eukaryota; Viridiplantae; Streptophyta; Magnoliopsida; Poales; Poaceae. The record is from RefSeq and is a predicted model, not a curated record.
CCAGCGUCCUUAGACAUCCUUAGAUGAUGUUAUGGUGCAGAUGCAUGUCAUGUUCUUAGCCCGGCGCUCGCGUUGACGCCGCGGGCUCAUCCACAGAAGUAGUGUGCGCGAGGGCGCCGGUGUCACAGCGAUGCCGAACGUGUCGUCGCCGUCGGCAUUCCGACCGGGCCUCCUCGACGAUGCUGGGCAUGUCUCCUCCGUGUGAGCUGCAUGCCUGCGUACAUGAGGUUCAGUGGCUGGAUGUGUUGUUGCGAUCUGGUCUUCAAGCCCUCCGCGAGAACCUUCCUUCUAGCCUUCUCCGCGAAUCCUCGUCUUGGUCUCCUCAGGGCAUCUCCAAUGCAGGGGCGCCUGUGUGGGCGCUUGUGUAAAAAAUAAAACUAAAUUACGAUGGAGCAUCGGUGUAAAAGUCUGGGCUUCCAACGCAGGAGUGCUAGAUUGGGCGCUUAUCUAUAUAUUUUUCCUUUCGGACGACAUUCUCAAGCGCCGGCCUCUCCAACGCAGGAAACAAGCAUCGGUGCCCACCGAUCCAACCGAACACGAACCGGUCAGCUGCACCAGUCCUCACUCAGCUCACUCUGCUCUCAGCUCAGCUCACUCUGCUCCCUUCUCUCGAACUCUCCACACCCUUGACUCUCGUCAGAUCCAGCGAGCCGGAGGAGAACUCCAGGCCGAACUCUCACACCCUCAGAUGCCGGCCACGGCAAACGGCGGCGCGGGGGCGGAGUAGGCAGCAGCCCGCGUCUUCCUUCCCAUGGAGACGAGGCCGGUGCAGCUGUCGGCGAGGCCGACGGACAUGAAGAUGGCGGUGCGCGAGCGGAUGAGGCAGCAGCAGCCGGGCCUUCCCACAUGGAGACGAAGCCGGAGGAGCUACCGCGGCGCUGACGGACGGGAGGGGAGGGAGCCGUGGAGCAGAGGAGGCAGCAGCCGCGCCUUCCCCCAUGGGAACGAGGCCGGAGGAGCUCUUGGCGAUUGAUGUACCAAUUGCUGCGCGCGUACAAUAUGCGCGUUCAAGAUGAACAAGCUUACCCGACAUCUGAGGUUUGAAGAUCGGAAUUUUUCCCGUGUUGAACCAGCUUCACAUUCACAUGCAUUUCAUUUUUGGCAUUUUUUUUAUUGUAAGUAUUCAGGUCUCAUGGAGAAUUAUUAUAGAUAUAAACGACCUCCAUAUUUUAUUGUAGAUUAUUUUUUGUGUGAAGAGAAAGAAAACAUAUAUUUUUUGAACCAAGCAAUAUAUUUUUUGUGUAGCUGCAAAAGAAAAUCAGGUAAGUUAGUUGCGUAUAGCUGGCUCCGUUCAGCAAAGACCAGCUGAGGUCAUUGAGCCGUUGCAGAUUUGUAGCGCUCCAAGGAGCGCCCGGUGCCAGAUUGGUACGGAGAAAAAGGAUCGCGCAGAAAAAACAAAGGAGAAGCGCCCGACGACAGCCUGGGCAUCGAUGCCAACCCAUGGGAUCGGGGGGGAUUUGACCAAAUCGGGAGGAAAUCGAACCCUGGCGCCCGUCGUAAGCGCCCCCGUUGUACAUGCCCUCAGGUGCAGGCGCCACCCGCUACCUUUAGGCGCGGGGUGCUUCUUGGCAACCCGAGCAUCUUCAAGUCCUCACGAGGGUGCCUCCCCGGUUCCUCUUGAUGCGAUCUGGUAUAUUAAAUAUAAAAAGAAAUAGGAACGAGUGACUGAAGAGAAGAGCACUGUAUGUGCCCUUGCAUGCAUGUGUCAUGCAACUCGAGAUGUCUCCAAACCCUUUGAAGGGCUAGCUUGACUUGACACGCAAUGGCAUGUGUUGCUGUCGCCGUCGUCGUGCUCGGAGCGGGUGUCAUUGCUGCCGUCGCGUCCUCUCACCGGUCUUCUCGCAUGUGUACUUGCACUGUCGCGAGCAAGUCGCCGACCGUACGCGCCACCGCCGUGGGCACGUCUCUCUCGGCUGGCUGUCAUCUCCGUCCCGAUCUUGCCGAUGCUGCCGCCAGGGGCGCAUCUCCUCAUACCUCCUCUGGAGGUGCGUGAGUCCCUCUAUUGCCCUGCCUGAACCCUGGUAAAACAACCACAAAGAAAA